RNAcentral lists this ribosomal RNA (394 nucleotides) under uncultured bacterium. RNAcentral's name for it is "partial 16S ribosomal RNA". It matches the Rfam family "Bacterial small subunit ribosomal RNA", at positions 338 to 729 of the family's 1533-position model. The record is from RNAcentral.
CCUACGGGAGGCAGCAGUGAGGAAUAUUGGUCAAUGGGCGCGAGCCUGAACCAGCCAAGUCGCGUGAGGGAUGAAGGUUCUAUGGAUCGUAAACCUCUUUUAUAAGGGAAUAAAGUGUGGGACGUGUCCUAUUUUGUAUGUACCUUAUGAAUAAGGAUCGGCUAACUCCGUGCCAGCAGCCGCGGUAAUACGGAGGAUCCGAGCGUUAUCCGGAUUUAUUGGGUGUAACGGGUGCGUAGGCGGCCUUUUAAGUCAGCGGUGAAAGUCUGUGGCCCAACCAUAGAAUUGCCGUUGAAACUGGGGGGCGUGAGUAUGUGUGAGGCAGGCGGAAUGCGUGGGGUAGCGGUGAAAUGCUUAGAUAUCACGAAGAACAACGAUGGCGAAGGCAGCCUAC